CCUACGGGAGACAGCAGUGGGGAAUAUUGCACAAUGGGGGAAACCCUGAUGCAGCGACGCCGCGUGAGUGAAGAAGUAAUUCGUUAUGUAAAGCUCUAUCAGUAGGGAAGAAAAUGACGGUAACUGAGUAAGAAGCCCCGGCUAACUACGUGCCAGCAGCCGCGGUAAUACGUAGGGGGCAAGCGUUAUCCGGAUUUACUGGGUGUAAAGGGAGCGUAGACGGCAGUGCAAGGCUGGAGUGAAAGGCGGGGGCUCAACCCCCGGACUGCUCUGGAAACUGUACGGCUUGAGUGCAGGAGAGGUAAGUGGAAUUCCUAGUGUAGCGGUGAAAUGCGUAGAUAUUAGGAGGAACACCAGUGGCGAAGGCGGCUUACUGGACUGUAACUGACGUUGAGGCUCGAAAGCGUGGGGAGCAAACAGGAUUAGAUACCCCUGUAGUC
Molecule: ribosomal RNA, 440 nt
Filed under: uncultured bacterium
Lineage: Bacteria
Description: partial 16S ribosomal RNA
Rfam family: Bacterial small subunit ribosomal RNA
Source: RNAcentral